UUGUGCACAAAGGAAGCAUCUGAUGAAAGGCCAACAAUGAGUAUGGUGGUUGCACAACUAAAGGAUGCCUUGGCAUUGGAAGAAGCCCGUAAUGUGAGUAUCAGCGAUAUUAGCCAAAAGGGUGCCAAUCUUGGCUUGUCGUUCAACUCGAUGCCAUCAGCAAGAUGAAAGAGCAUGCUCAAGUGGUUAAGUAUGUCACAUAGUUAAACUUUCUUAUUGAGUGUAUUAACUAUUGUAAUAAGCAUGGAGUUGUGUCUUCCUUCUGGAAUUACAAUUACAUUGCUACUUGAUGAGUUGAGGAAUGUAUCAAUGACUCGAUGAGUUCCUAUCCUGUGCUAAUAUAUGACAUUCUGGACCAGAUCCAAUCAAAGUUCUGAAAUGUUGACUAUCAACAAAUUUUAAAUAUUUAAUUUGAAACAUAAAGAUGGAAUGUGCAUAUUUUUCUUGCAGUAACUUCAUAAUCUCAUACUAGAUUUUAUAAACUUAUCUUAGUAAAAUAUAAUUAUAGCCAAAGUCGUCGCACAUCGAAGAUCAUAAACUAUAUACCGAGACCGAGUACCAAGGUUUUGCUUUGUUGGGUGAUGUGUUAAGAGAACAAUUUAGAAUGAAAUCAGCAAGCAAAGUAGUAUCUCAUUACCAUGAUUCCAGCUUCUGAAAUGAGGAACUAACAUCCUGCGCGUUCUUGCGUGACAACAGAUCUGCCCAAACUGGCAAGCAGAUCCAACGCCAGGAACAAACAACCUGGAAGGAAUUAGUCCGGAUGAAUAAUCCUGCGUUCCAAGGAACAAGUACACGCCCACAAAGAACAUUCAGUACCCAAACAUUUACCUCAAGAACGCUUGACCGUCGUUCGGAUCGUAUUACGGCGGUGGCUGCUCAAAUCUCAAAGGGCGGCGCCUGCGAUGGCGCGGUCGGAGCUCGUACGUGAGCGUGGUCGAUCCAGGAAGUGGGUAGCAUGCGGGGGGAGCAGUGCCGAAGGUGGAACUCGACCGAAGUCGCGCACGCGGUGGCGGCAGCGGCGGCGGCGGCG
Molecule: long non-coding RNA, 1030 nt
Filed under: Oryza sativa (Asian cultivated rice)
Lineage: Eukaryota; Viridiplantae; Streptophyta; Magnoliopsida; Poales; Poaceae
Description: long non-coding RNA (OSAT_LNC001635)
Source: RNAcentral